RNAcentral lists this long non-coding RNA (2481 nucleotides) under Homo sapiens (human). RNAcentral's name for it is "NUP107 divergent transcript (NUP107-DT, STX18-AS1)". The record is from RNAcentral. Lineage: Eukaryota; Metazoa; Chordata; Mammalia; Primates; Hominidae.
GAAAAAGGUUCCGGCCUCAGCCGGCGCACCUGGCGGAGGAGGAACCUCGCGACGCGCUCUCGGGCAUCGGUUUCUCCCAGCAAAGCUUGGAGGGUUUAGCUGCGCGGAGAGCUCAGCGAGCUCUUCUGUGUCUGUUUGGGGCGUGUGGGCUCCGGGAGCGUGAGGACCGGGAAGCUAGGAGGCUCCUUCCCUUCUGGCGGCUCCCUCACUGAGACCGGGCGGUUUGGUUGCGGGGGAAGUGGAGACGAGCCACCCUUGACCUUUGACUGCAAGAACUCACCUUGAGCAGGAUAGAGGCACGUGGACGGUGACCCUCGGGAUGCAAUAAAUGCUGAGACAGAUCAGCAAACAUUGAGUGGGCCAGACACUGUUCUGAAAAAUACGCAGUCGACUUUUGAACAGCACAGGCUUGAACUGCAUGCGGCCACUAAUACUCGGACUUCCUUCUGCCUCUGCCAUCCCUAAGACAGCAAGACCCACCCCUCCUGCUCCUCAGCCUACUCGAUGUGAUGAUGAUGCAGAGAUUCAGAGAGUCUAAGCAACUUUUCUAAAUCAUCUAGCUGGAAUUCAGUAACUGAGCCAGGAUCUACCCCAGGUCUGUCUGACUCCAAAGCCUGUGUCUUCCAGCACACACUGCUGCUGCCUGGGGAAUGUGGAUAUGAUGUCUGGAGCUCUAGCAACCAUAUCAGACCACAAGGAUGAAUGUACACCCCAGGAAUGGAAGAGAGGAAAGCCAGAAAAAGACUCGGUCCCUGAUGGCUGAAGAGCUACCAUACCUGCCCCUAGAUCUUCUAUUUCUGAUCAUCUUCUAUGCAAGGCCUGGAAUGUAAUCAUGGAUAGCCAUGGAUGAUCAGCUUUCAUCAUGUGGGCAUGGAACAAGAUGGAAGGAAGCUGGGGCCCUGAGUGACCUGUGGAGCAGAGGCCUUUGCCCACCCUGGGCUGCCUGAUUUCCCCUGGACUAUCAUGAGACAGAAGAAAAAGCUUCUAUCUUAUUUGAACCACUGUGUUUUGGGAACCUUGGACUAGAGCAGCCUAGCCUUCAUACACUAACAAGGUACAUUACUGACUUCUCCUGUUAGCUCUGUCGUGCUUACAUCAUGAUGCCCAUUUUUCAGGUAAAGAAAUAGUGGCUCAAACAAGGUGAGUGGCCAAAGAUAACAUAGCUCAUAUGUAGCAAAGCAGGGACUUUGAUCUGGGUCUCAGCACUUUGUCCACCAUGGUGUCCACUGGUUGACUCAGGUGAUUCACCUGGGUAACAAGGCUUCCUGAAGGCCACCUGCUGGUAAAUGUCAUUGCCAGUUCAUUGACCGGGAGCCCCCAUGUGUUUCUACCAAGACCCCGCUCCUCUCUUCGCAUACAGUAAUCUGUUGUAUACACUUUGUACCUCACCCACAAGCGUGUGAAAAGCCUUAGCUGUUCUGGUGCCAGGACUAAUGGGAGCUGCUUACAGUCUAUGAGGACAAUCAGACUUGGCCGCCUGCCUUCUUUCCAUAUAAUUUUUAAUAAGCCAGUAAUAUCUCUCCAAGCACUACAGACCUCUGGCUUGGACCAGGAAACCUGGAACUGUUUAAGAGAACAUUAAUUUCCUUUGAGCUAGGAUUACAGGCCAUCUAAAACUUCUUAAUGAAUGGCCACACUGCCUUUUUGAAGCAUUUGUGUAUUUGCCAACACAGACUCGAAGGUUGCAUUAGAUAUUGGGAGUUGUCUUUUCUGGAAGUUAGGGUCUUCUAGAAGCUGACGGGCGAUGGAGGCCUGAUGCUCUGCCAUUUCUUUGGUGAGACCUCUGGACUGCUUCGUUCAUAGUCCUCUUUCCCACAUAUGCUCCCCUGAUGUCUUACUCUUUUAUUUUAUGGGUUUUUGGUAACUGAAACAUUUUAAGACUCAAUUCCGCCACUUUGUUGAAGAUAAAAUCAAGUUCAAACCCUGCUUUAUUUUAUUUUUCUUUUUUUUGGACGGAACUAGUGAGGAAACUGUGUGUGCAAACCCCAGAAAACCCACUUGAGACCUGAUGCUAAUUGGCUGGAUGAUGUUCAAUAGGACACGGCUCCACUGAGCCUCAAUUUCCUGAUGAGGGUUAAACUGAUGAUUCUUAACCAGGUCUGACAUUCUGUAAAUUAAGCAUACUUGCUUCUGAUUUCACAGUUUCCAUGGGAUCAGAGGAUUGAAAUGUCAAGGAACCUCCCUUGAUGUCCCCCUAAGACUCUGAAUUGAACUGUGAUGAGGACCCUUUUGAGAAUCUUUCAGUGAUCCCCUUCUCUAGGAAGGAAGGGUGAAGUAUGCUUUGUAAGAGAGAUUGUCUAUUUGUCUUUUAUCUCCUGAUUUCAAACACAGUGGUUCCGCUAAGCUGCAUCUUUUUUGUUCUUUCUGCUGUGAAAAUAAUUUUGUCGGAAAAUGUAACCAGUGCAAUUAUACUGAAAUUUCAUAUGAAAUGUUAAUAAAAUGGAUGUGUGACCAAUAAAAUACUUGAUGCCAAAUUAAAAA